Molecule: long non-coding RNA, 1146 nt
Filed under: Felis catus (domestic cat)
Lineage: Eukaryota; Metazoa; Chordata; Mammalia; Carnivora; Felidae
Description: lncRNA (ENSFCAG00000048166.1)
Source: RNAcentral
AUGUGUCUGCUGGAAGGAAUGCCCUGCAAACCACUGGUGGCCCUGGUGGCAGCAAAGUCAGUUUUAGGUGUGGACAGAGCUAUGCUGCCCCAAGCUGAGGAGCAGAUGAGGACAGAGACAGCAACUGCAAGUGACUUCUGGAGAAGACUGGCUGUGAAGGAAAAGAGAGACACGGAGCAAUACCUGGUGGGGGGCACAGACUGGAUGGGGAGGAGUGUGGGGGGCGCAGACUGGAUGGGGAGGAGCAGAUGGGGGGGCGCAGACUGGACGGGGAGGAGCAGAUGGGGGGGCGCAGACUGGACAGGGAGGAGCGGAUGGGGGCGCAGCCUGGACGGGGAGGAGUGGAUGGCGGGCACAGACUGGACGGGGAGGAGUGUCGGGGGGCGCAGACUGGACGGGGAGGAGCGGAUCGAGGGGCACAGACUGGACGGGGAGGAGCAGAUGGGGGGGCGCAGACGGACGGGGAGGAGUGUGGGGGGCGCAGACUGGACGGGGAGGAGUGUGGGGGGCGCAGACUGGAUGGGGAGGAGCGGAUGGAGGGGCACAGACUGGACAGGGAGGAGCGGAUGGGGGCGCAGCCUGGACGGGGAGGAGUGGGUGGCGGGCACAGACUGGACGGGGAGGAGCGCAUGGGGGCCACAGACUGGACGGGGAGGAGCGUGGGGGGGCGCAGACUGGACAGGGAAGAGUGUGGGGGGCGCAGACUGGACGGGGAGGAGUGUGGGGGGCGCAGACUGGACGGGGAGGAGCGGAUGGAGGGGCACAGACUGGACGGGGAGGAGUGUGGGGGGCGCAGACUGGACGGGGAGGAGCGGAUGGAGGGGCACAGACUGGACGGGGAGGAGUGUGGGGGGCGCAGACUGGACAGGGAGGAGCGGAUGGGGGCGCAGCCUGGACGGGGAGGAGUGGGUGGCGGGGCACAGACUGGACGGGGAAGAGCGGAUGGCGGGCACAGACUGGACGGGGAGGAGUGUCGGGGGGCGCAGACUGGAGGGGGAGGAGCAGAUAGGGGGGCGCAGACUGGACGGGGAGGAGUGUGGGGGGCACAGACUGGACAGGGAGGAGCGGAUGGAGGGGCACAGACUGUACGGGGAGGAAUGUCGGGGGCGCAGACUGGACGGGGAGGAGCGGAUGGUGGGGCAAUAG